RNAcentral lists this transfer RNA (73 nucleotides) under Camelus bactrianus (Bactrian camel). It matches the Rfam family "tRNA". Rfam says of the family: Transfer RNA (tRNA) molecules are approximately 80 nucleotides in length. Their secondary structure includes four short double-helical elements and three loops (D, anti-codon, and T loops). RNAcentral also lists the same sequence under 1 other name. Lineage: Eukaryota; Metazoa; Chordata; Mammalia; Artiodactyla; Camelidae. The record is from Rfam by way of RNAcentral.
GGGGUUGUAGCUUAAGCGGUAGAGCGUACGCUUAGCCUGCAUGAGGUCCUGGGUUCAAUCCCCAGUACCUCUU